RNAcentral lists this ribosomal RNA (83 nucleotides) under Pseudomonas quercus. Its description in RNAcentral is "Pseudomonas sp. hsmgli-8 partial 16S ribosomal RNA". The stretch from base 1 to 72 matches the Rfam family "Bacterial small subunit ribosomal RNA", at positions 1462 to 1533 of the family's 1533-position model. The record is from RNAcentral. Lineage: Bacteria; Pseudomonadati; Pseudomonadota; Gammaproteobacteria; Pseudomonadales; Pseudomonadaceae.
GUGUGAUUCAUGACUGGGGUGAAGUCGUAACAAGGUAGCCGUAGGGGAACCUGCGGCUGGAUCACCUCCUUAAUCGACGACAC